Long non-coding RNA from Ornithorhynchus anatinus (platypus), 2617 nucleotides. RefSeq lists it as uncharacterized. NCBI's taxonomy places the organism in Eukaryota, Metazoa, Chordata, Mammalia, Monotremata, Ornithorhynchidae. The record is from RefSeq and is a predicted model, not a curated record. The transcript is spliced from 4 exons.
GAUAAGAGCAGUCAUCGAUAUCACCAGACGACCGGGCCAAGUGAACACACGAAGAGGAGCCGUGCUGCAAGAGCCGCUCGAGCGGAUUUACUGACCUAAUGUGGGGAGAACCUUUAGGUGUCAACCUCCUCGAUCUCUUGGCCUUCUGCUGCUGCGUUAUGUUCUAACCAGGCUCUGGUUGGUAGCGGUUUCUAAGUUGUUGUGUCACCAGCUGAUUUUGAGGCAUUCCGAGUGGUUAACCAGAGGUUAGACUCACAUCUUCUGUGACGGGGCCGUUGGGCCAAAGUACUUGGAAGGAGAAGCCGGAGGAAGUCUUUACCAAGCUAGGCAUUCGAAAAGGAAUAAAAGAGAAGUGGAAUCUGACCUGAACCUGAAAGCGUGGCCUCUGAGUGGAUGCUUUGAAUCCAGGCAGUUCUCCCCCAAGAGUAACAUAACACAGCGCAGUCUAGCAGUAACCAAGGCCAGGAGAACAACCACAGAUCACUAAAAUUCCUAACAUGGCACAGUUCAAUAGAUCUUUAUCGAUAGGCUAAAAGCGUCACUGAAGAACUAGUCGUGGCAACUUUCUGUUGAGCGGUUGGACACUUCAUCAAUGAGAUCAGCACAAAUUUUCCUCCCACGUAGACAGCUGUCGGAGUACGUUGGAACACGUCGCGUUUGUCGUCCGCUGCCUCGGGCACCGUGAGGAGAUCCUGAGCUAGAACACGAACAGGCCUGCGUUCUCGAAAACAUCCGUGCCACUACGAACCCCUGCCUGGAGAUGCUGGCCCAGGAGGAUCAGGAUUCUUGAAAACCUAGAUAUCAUCAUCAGCGAUUCCAGAUCCAGCUCUGAACUAGGGAUCUGGCUCCAUGCCUUUUGUCCUGCACUACAGAGACCAGAGAUUUUGGCCUGGAUUAGCAAACAGAGGCAGAAAGCUAACUUCACCCCUACGCCGCCGACCCCUUCUAGGCAAGCAGCUUCCUGCCGAAGUUCCAAGGAGAGGAGGCGUCCGUCUGGAGUACCCCGGCUUGCCGAUCCCCGCUUUCACAGUGGAGGGGGAAAAAAAACACAGUCCAAUAGAAGAGCUUGAGGGAAAGUGGGAAAGGCAGAGGAUAGUACUGGUGAUGUAACUUGUUACCUGCAGAUGGCAGACUGGCUAUAGGCUGGACCCUCCGUAGCACUCAAGGCCUGGCCUACUUGAGUUUGGGUCAAACCGAGAGACAGGCGGCGGAUUUUAAAAGCUUUGGCAAAUUCCCGGAUUUCCUCAAGAUUCACCCCGUCCACCUCGCUGGCGGCUGUCUGAGGAUCUGUGGAGACGUUGGCGGAGAGAGGGUCAAAACUUCACACUGCAGAGACACACCUUGUUAGCUGAGUUUUACCCCAGAGCAGAUUUCAGGUGAGGAGGCGAGAGGAGAAUGGUCUCAUUUUUGAAAAUCCAAAUUCAGUCCCACCUAGGAGUCUCCAUUUUUUCCUAAGUGAGGCACCAACCUGCACCCUAAGCUAUUUACCACUUCCCGCUGAGAUUUUUCUCCCCAAAUUCAAGACCACCACCCGACCUAUGGUUUCUCUCUUGCAGGAAGGAGAGAUCUCGGGGCUUAAUAAACUUGACAAAUGAAAAAACAAAAAGCACCCAAACUCCAGGUCAGGUGUUACCGAUAAAGGAAGGAGAGGGAAUCAGACUGGAGUCUCGAUUUUUCAUUCUACCUCUGUUCCUUCGACCUACCCGUCCCACUUUCAAGGUUUCCGAAUCGGAGCGCCAUCAGGCUACGAUACCCAUGCAGCACAAUCCUUAGGUUUUCAUUACACUCUCAGAUGAUAAUACCCACGAAGAGGUGUGAAUACAUUUAUCCCUUUUUUUCGAAGCAGAGUUUACUGACUCCGAACGCCUUUGUCCCUGGAAGGGCACGAAAAUGAAAGAACGCCCCCGACCACAGGAACACUUCUUUGGUUCUGGAUAAACUCGGUCAAUUUAGGACUUAUCAAGGGAAAUGACAAAUCAGCUGGAGAAUGAAACUCCUCCUCUCUCCUCCCCCCACCCCCCAACCAACCCUUGCCCCCAGGCUACUGAUCUCGGGAUAAAUAAAAGCCUGCUCCAAAGUGGAGACAGCGUGGGCCUGGGAGGACGGAUGAUUUCAAAGAGACUGUUCAACCCUGCACAGAGCGAAGGCAUUCUCCCAGCAAGAGAUUUCUAUUCUUCCUCCCCCUUGCUCCUAAGACGACUUCAAUUUCGGUCAAUGCAGGCAGGGGUCUGAGGAUCAGGGCCGGUGACACUACUCUGCUCGUUGCAGCAGUAGAAAGGACCCCACUGCUGGCUGCUGCAAUUUGCAUUCUCAACCUCUCCAGCCGGAGAAACUCUCAAAUCGGGAGGUAAACUUUCCUUUAGGAUUGAAUCACCAUGUACACAUUCUCCCACAUUAGGAGAGGGAUUUUUUGUUGAAGGCUAUUGGCCUGUUCUCCCUACGGCUGCUUUGCUCAGGCUUCCGAUGACACGGGGUUUUCCGUUCCUGAAGGUCUAAAAUCAACCUGAGCAUUUAAAUGAACUCUUUGUGGAACUGGGCUGAAGUCAGAACUGGUGUUUGGGAGGAGCUUAAACACUGGCAAACAUGUAGAACAGAGAUUCAAGCUUUCAAAGAGUUA